RNAcentral lists this ribosomal RNA (253 nucleotides) under uncultured bacterium. Its description in RNAcentral is "partial 16S ribosomal RNA". It matches the Rfam family "Bacterial small subunit ribosomal RNA", at positions 524 to 776 of the family's 1533-position model. The record is from RNAcentral.
UACGGAGGGGGCAAGCAUUGAUCGGAAUUACUGGGCGUAAAGGGCGCGUAGGCGGCUAGAAAAGUCAGAUGUGAAAUUCCGGGGCUCAACCCCGGAGCUGCAUUUGAAACUUUCAAGCUAGAGGGGACUUAGGGAAAACGGAAUUCCACGUGUAGCGGUGAAAUGCGUAGAUAUGUGGAAGAACAUCGGUGGUGAAGACGGUUUUCUGUGGUUUAACUGACGCUGAGGCGCGAAAGCUAGGGGAGCAAACAGG